GAUGCAGAAGCACCUGUAUUGAUACAAGUGAAAUAAAGGACAAAGUACAGAUAUAAAAUAUCAAAAUCUAAUUCCUUCCAAAGAUUUCCUCCAGAUCACUCACAAGGAACUCCCCCUGAACUUGCACAGGCACAAAGCAUGGAAACAGCAGGAGUGAUCAAGUUGAGCAACAUAGGAAUAACCAUUAUUCACAUCCACAGACAACUUCUCUUCCAUCUUAGACAGCUCUGUGCCAUUAAGAGCACUUAGCAGUAAGCCUUGUUGAAAAUCCAAGAGCACAGCUAGAACCAGAUCAGCUUUAGGAGGUGGCUAUGAUCCAAACCAAGUUUGAAUUCUCACAAGAGGAGAACCCAUUUCUAACAGGAAGGAAGGAAGAAUAAAACUACUUAACCACAGGAGGAAACCUACCUGCUCCAAUUUCAUUUCCACUUGGAAUAGUAUCAUCAUCUAGACAAUCUGUGCAGCUGCCAAUCUCCUAGCUGCUAACUUUCUCC
This is a long non-coding RNA of Strigops habroptila (Kakapo), 494 nucleotides long. RefSeq lists it as uncharacterized. The record is from RefSeq and is a predicted model, not a curated record. Lineage: Eukaryota; Metazoa; Chordata; Aves; Psittaciformes; Psittacidae. The transcript has 5 exons.